GAUGAACGCUAGCUACAGGCUUAACACAUGCAAGUCGAGGGGAAACGAUAUUGGAAGCUUGCUUCCGAUAGGCGUCGACCGGCGCACGGGUGAGUAACGCGUAUCCAACCUGCCCAUCACUUGGGGAUAACCUUGCGAAAGUAAGACUAAUACCCAAUGACGUCUCUAGAAGACAUCUGAAGGAGAUUAAAGAUUUAUCGGUGAUGGAUGGGGAUGCGUCUGAUUAGCUUGUUGGCGGGGUAACGGCCCACCAAGGCGACGAUCAGUAGGGGUUCUGAGAGGAAGGUCCCCCACAUUGGAACUGAGACACGGUCCAAAACUCCUACGGGAGGCAGCAGUGAGGAAUAUUGGUCAAUGGACGAGAGUCUGAACCAGCCAAGUAGCGUGCAGGAUGACGGCCCUAUGGGUUGUAAACUGCUUUUAUAAGGGAAUAAAGUGAGUCUCGUGAGACUUUUUGCAUGUACCUUAUGAAUAAGGACCGGCUAAUUCCGUGCCAGCAGCCG
RNAcentral lists this ribosomal RNA (503 nucleotides) under uncultured bacterium. RNAcentral describes it as "bacterial SSU rRNA". It matches the Rfam family "Bacterial small subunit ribosomal RNA", at positions 28 to 517 of the family's 1533-position model. The record is from RNAcentral.